AUGCUCCAGCAUGACUGGAGAUUGGGUGGCUUGAUCCCACCAAGGGUGUUGGCAGAGCAAAAGAAGGAGAAGAAAGGAGGGAGAAGAAGACAGAGUGAAAUGAGGGGAAGGGUUUGGGGAGAGAAGAGAGAGAGAGAAAGAAAGAGAGAGAGAGAGAGAGAGAGAGAGAGAGAGAGAGAAAGGGAGAGAGAGAGAGAGAGAGAGAGAGAGAGAGAGAGAGAGAGAGAGAGAGAGAGAGAAAGGGAGAGAGGGAGAGAGAGAGAGAGAAAGGGAGAGAGAGAGAGGUGCUGCUCAGGUGAUGCUGCUUACAGCCAGUCGGAACUUGCACUUGGUAAAGAUGAUGAUCUAGUCUGAGGCACGGCUUGGUAUGUCCCCCCUCCAAGGGAGUCCUGGAAGGACAGUUCUCAGCUGUCUAUGCUCAUGAGGGUUAUGACUUGUUCUAGUUUGUAGGCUAGUUUCUGCUUCCCACACUGGUCAUCAUGGUCCAGAGGUCCAAGAAUCUGUUGAAAAAGGACAAAGGAGAUGGGUUACCUGCCAGUGCACACCUUUGGAGGCUGAGGGAUACUCUUAUAGGCAGUGCAUGUAGACAUACAUCCAAGGUAUUAGAACAUACAUAUCUAUCCAUGUAUGUGUAUAUGUGAACACACCCAUGCAGCAUGUCAGGAUAGGUGAGCAAAUUCUAUUACUGGUGCAGUGGCUUGCAGAAGUGAGGUAUGGGUAUUCUGGCAUAUGUUCAUGUCCACAUACCAUGCCCCUAUGUGUAUGAAUAUGUGAAUAUAAUUGUGGGAACAUACACUUAGGUCUAUGAAGACUGGUGUGCAAUCUUGUAGAUACAGGAGAAAGUAAGCAGAGAGAAAAGCUUUAUGGAAGCCAGUUGAACAGAGUGGCUGCAGUACCUAGGGCAAACAGACUGGCCCACUUCCCAAGAACCAUUUCUGAAGGAGAGUCAAAGAGAGGCAGCCAUUCCCUGGGAUGAGCCUUUGCUUUGUGCCUUUGCUGAGAGAGGCUGGACUGUGACAGAAAGAAUACUGUCCACCACUCUGGAUAGAGCCCUGGUUCUGCUUCUUAAAAGCUGUGAGGCCUUGAGCAACUCAAAUAACCUGUCUGAGUCUCAGGCACCUCAUCUGAAUAAAAGGGAAGGCACUGUACCA
RNAcentral lists this long non-coding RNA (1151 nucleotides) under Monodelphis domestica (gray short-tailed opossum). RNAcentral's name for it is "lncRNA (ENSMODG00000042310.1)". The record is from RNAcentral. Lineage: Eukaryota; Metazoa; Chordata; Mammalia; Didelphimorphia; Didelphidae.